CUUGGAUCCAAUAUUGUCAGUUUUAGCCAUUAUGAGGAGGAAAACCUCUUGAAUGGAAUUAUGCAGAACAUGUUUGAUAGGUAACCAGAUCAUUUUAACAAAUUGAAGUUCAACUGAGUUAAAUUGCUUGUUUUUUAUAAUGUAGCAGUGAGGAGCGUUUGUUCUGGGCUGGGUUUAACAAAAGAAACCAAAAUACCCGUGUGGGGCUGCAUGGGAGUGGUCUGAUGGCACUGCUGUUGUAUCUUCAUUUAUAGAGGACAGACAUAAUGAAGAUGAUCAAAGAAACGGUGCAGCUUAUAAAGCUGAUAAUAUGAUAAUACUGCUACGAUGUGAUGCAAAACUUGAGUGGAUCUGUAAAACACCUAAAGGUGCAGAGCUGAAGAGACUAUGGUAUACCGAAUCUGGAUGGAUGGAUCAGCCAUUGAUUACGAGAACUGGGAAGGAACAAAUUCAAGACACUCGGAAGUGAAGAAUGAAAGAUGUGUAUAUGUCAUCACAGACAGGCAGAUGGUCUGAGGGCAUAUCCAAUGGUAAUCAUCCUUAUAGUUUCUGUUGAAAUUCCAAGAGAACUUCACCUCAUAGGAGGCUGUCCAGAACGAUGGCUCUAUUUUGGACACAAGUGUUUUCUGAUGCAUGUACCAAACAAUCCCAAAAAACCUGGACUGAUGCCUAGACUUUCUGCAAAUCUCAUGAAGGAGCACUUGUUUCAGAUGAAAAUAAAAUAGAGCAAGCCUAUUAAACAAUGCUGCUAUUGGGAGGUCAAACAAGUGUCUGGAUUGGUCUGCAAAAUGACAACCGGCAAAAAUGGGUGAAUGGGGAACCUGUUACUUAUGCAAAGUGGUCACCCAUCGAACCAGAGAACUCGUUUUCUGGAUAAACCAGUACGACUAAUUUCACAAAUGGACCAAGAUGACCUGAAUAAAUUAACAAGAAACAUAUAUCAUAUAUCCAGAAAAUCAACAGAAGCCCUCUUUCUUAAACAAUAGGAUGGAGAUGAUUUGAAUGCCAGUAAUGCUUAACAAGAUGACCCACUCUGUACUUUGCUGUCAAACAAUCAUAACUAUCAUUUAACUGGGAAAUGGUACAAUGAGAAGUGUCUGGACAAUGGGUAUGGAUUUAUAUGUCAAAAACAACAGGACCCAUCUAAGCCUCCGUCUCAUCAAUCAUUUUUUCAUCCUCUUCCUAAUACCGUUGAAUACAGGAACCGCAGUUACAGAAUUAUUCAUGGGAACAUGACCUGGUAUGAAGCCCUGAAUAAAUGCUCAGAAAAUGAAACUGAACUAGUGAGCAUAACUGAUGAGUUCCACCAGGCUUUCCUUAAAGUCGUUGUGAAUAGAUUGGCCCACGCACACUGGAUUGGACUUAAUAGCCAAGAUAAAGUAAACCAAUUUCCUACAAAGGGGAAUGUCCAAAAACAUGGUUAAAGUUCCAAAGCAGUUGCUACAGUUUUGAGCCUGUUAUAAGGAGGCUGGAUUUGGAAGAAUCGCGUGAAUAUUGCAUACUGAAAGCAAACACGUCAGAUCUAUUGACAAUUAAAGAGGAAGAAGAGCACAGAUUUGUUUUAGAGGAACUACAAUUCUUUGGAUCUUCUCAUCAGACUCUUUGGCUUGGCAUCAUAUUUGGCACUGACAUUUUCUUCUAUCCUAGAUGACACAUUGGAGUGGUUUGACUGUUCACCUGUUAAGUAUUCUAACUGGUUCUUCUAAGCACCACAUAUGGAUCCUCUUACUAUUGAUAGCUGUGUUUCAAUGAGGCCUUCAAAUGGCAGCUGGCAUGUGUCUCACCUUGAGGAAACGCUUGGAUUCAUUCAUAUGGAGCAUCUCAUACCUGUUUCUUCUGGAAAUGUGUACUACAGACAAGCAAGUUCAGAGGCUGCGGAUUCAGAAGGAAAUAUUCUUAUUACAGAUCUUGAUAUGAAUACUGUAAAUUAAAAUCUCCUUGAGCAGUAAUGGAAUUGCGAUCUGUAAAGCGAACUGUGUCACAGCAGGGCAGUGUGGUUGCAUGUUACAUUUGAGCAGCCAGUCACCAAAAAGCAUAGAUCCUGAUCUGCACAAUCCUGGAAGAACAGCUGAAAACCAAAGAAACAAGUAUUAAUAAUGGGAAGAUAUUCAUUUACACUGCAUAAGCACAGAAAGGCUAAAAGCUGAUAACAUCUGAAAUUAAAUUUUCUAUUGAAAAAAGGGUCCAAUUUUAUUCUUAUUGUCUUCAAACACGGAAUACAACAUUUCAGUUUUUUUGAAACCUCAGAAGUAUUCAUCACAAUUAAUGUCUAUAAAACACGGUACUAAACUUAAAUUGAUAGAACGUAAUUUUAUAAAUGUAUAUUAUUAUAAGAUAUUCAGAUGGCUAAAUUACUUGGAGUAAUAGCUUUUUGUCAUGAACUCAAAAAACUCAGAGACCUCAUUGUAAUAAACAAGUAAAUGUACAUGUCUUGCACUGUACUGUCAACAGAAUUGCUGGACUAGGCUGCCACAGCAGCCAUUCUCAAUUUGAGGGCAGCACAAGCAGAAGUACAGAAUUGUUAUACAAUUGUAAGCAAGAUGUUUGUUUGAUUUUUUUAAUCUAAAGCAGUGCAGCAUCAAUGAAGUAUUGUCAGUAUCGUAACUUUAGCAAGCUUCUGAGGAUAUAGUUUAUGUUCCCCAUGGUUUAACACUUCAGAAUGGACACAAUAUACACCAAACCCCUGCUACUGUUGACUCCUUAAAUUAACAGUCUGGGGUCUGACAGGUAACCUUUUUAUUUGCUGCCGCUUAACAUAAUGACUGAAAUCCUGAAGAAACAGUACUCAGUCAGGCUGAGGUAUCGAGUCCAGCUACCCCCAGUCGCUCUCCAGAUGACAGACGAGCAGGUGUUUUUGAAUAAGACUGUUUACUAGUUUUUUCAUAGCCUAUAUUUUCCCUAGUACUGCUUAGGGAUUUACACACUUUUAUUUAUAUAUUAUUUUUCUUAUGAUAUAUGGAAAUACUAGCCAUUUUACCAGUUUUG
This is a long non-coding RNA of Acipenser ruthenus (sterlet), 2985 nucleotides long. RefSeq lists it as uncharacterized. Lineage: Eukaryota; Metazoa; Chordata; Actinopteri; Acipenseriformes; Acipenseridae. The transcript has 14 exons. The record is from RefSeq and is a predicted model, not a curated record.